GUCAUUCCUAACAAUCGCCAUUUACCAAUUACUUGAACUAGUUGAAGGGCUGACGACAUACAGAUUAACCCUGAGCAAUGACUCCACAUUCCUCUAAGCACGCAUUUCGUAAUUGUUGCCCUUGCGAAGGUGCAAAACAGUCUAAUAACUCUCGAUUUAAAUCGUGGCAAUCAGAGCUGGCGGGUACGCAAGAAAGGAGGAAGAGCGUUGGGCGGCUGGUUAGAUUUUUUUCUUUUCACAGCGUUCUCGCUAAAGAACACCCAAGAGGAUCUGCAACAGAGGGAUGCUAUCUCUGACAAAAACACAACUCUAUGCCCUCUAUGCCGCCCAGCGGCACUUUCCAAAUCACAGCAGUAUAUAUUAUUGAACAGUUUCUAUCCCGAGUGGAACAGACACUGAUAAUUGACAUACGACCUAUCAGUAAGAAGAAGGCACAAUAGAUCUACUCAUAAACCACGGCUAAAUGUCUUCCGGGGCUUGGCUGUCUUUUUUUGCCAGACAACAUCUCGCAAAUAGCCCUUUGUAAAACCCCAAUAGCAAACUCCCCGUAAGAGGCAGGCAACAUUUUGAGGAUCCGAAUAGUAAAACGAUUUAUUUUAUUUCUUUACUUGUAGAAAAAAAGUACAGGCGAUGAUUGCCUCGUUACACGAUCACGCAAGACUGGAAAUAACACGCGAGACACGCGAAGGUCGCCAAGUAGUGGAACAGUUCAGAUGUUCCUAAUUAUAAAAGUCACGGGAGAAAUAAUCUCACACUAUCAUCAUAAAUGUACUGGUUUACGAAGAAACCAAAUCCUUGAAAAAGAUGCUUCUAUAAAAAUCGAGCUAAAAAUUUGCCUACAAAAAAUUACAAACAAAAACAACAACGUAAAACUUGACUAAAACGAUAUGGCAGAUGGACGAUUCCUCGCACAACACGAACUGUGUGAGGAGCCAGUGUGUGCGAUAUUAUAAAAGGCUGGACAAAGACUUAAAAGGGAAUAGUAUAGUAUAGUAAAUAAUAAUCUAAUACUCACCGUGCCGCGAUAGUCGCUCUAAAUCUCGCUGGUCGCUCUUACCUUUGCAGGAAGACGUGGUGAAACCUGAUCGGGGGAUAUCUUGAGUGGUUUAUUCCAGUAUUUCUAGGGCGCGUUGAAGGAUCUUAUUUCGCUAUCGAAUAUGGACUUCGCUAGAUAAGAAAGGAAAUGAUCAUUAGGUGAUAUUUCAUCCACGGCGGGUUUUCUGUGUUUUGCGACCCCGGUCUGUGACCCUUCACAUGUGGUGGGUCUGCCUUUAUAGGACGGUGUUGACUCUACAAAUGAGGUUUUUACUUAGCGAGGGAUAAAAACAAAUUCCAACAUAACUAAGAGAUAAACACCAAGACAGUUUAUACAGUGAAUCCAAAAAAUUUAUAGAGGCUAGAUACUGAAUUUCGAGAAAUUUCUGGUAGUCUCUUUUUUAUAUGUCUUCUUUUCUGAUAAUAUCCCGUUGCGCAAAAGAAGGAGUUUUUCAAAAGAACAUAAACCUUUUUAUCUAAAGGUCGAAGAAACACAAUGGAGUCAA
Molecule: long non-coding RNA, 1541 nt
Organism: Nematostella vectensis (starlet sea anemone)
Lineage: Eukaryota; Metazoa; Cnidaria; Anthozoa; Actiniaria; Edwardsiidae
Exons: 2
Source: RefSeq, a predicted model, not a curated record